UCCUGCUCCGUCGCCCCAGUGUUCAGACUACCUGUUCAGGACAAUGCCGUUGUACAGUAGUCUGCACAUUGGUUAGACUGGGCAAGGGAGAGCAACGCCACGGACUGCUGGGGACAAACAGAAUUUGCUGUGUCCAAGGAGAAGACGUUUGUUUGCUCCUCUUUUUGAAUCUCAUAUCCAGUGUUUUUCUUCACAGGUUUUGCACACUAGGGAUCACGAAGCCCUCGGGGACAGUGCCGGGAAGGGACGGCUCGAGAGGAGAGCGGCGGGGAGAUACACAAAUAUUUUAGGGAUCAUGGAAUCUAUUCCAGAGGAAACUAACCAACAAUGAAUAUCUUCAACUAAAACUACCCCUGGAUUUAAUGGUUGCAUGCAUCAUUCCUUUAAUUGGGCAGAGUUAACUGGAUCAAAUUAUUUAUGGGCAAGAGAGGGAAAUCUAUAUAGAAUUAUAAUAAUUUUUAAUUUCCACCACUAUAUUCUUUGUAAGUGAAUCAUACUAUAAUUAUUUUCUGUUGCAUUGAAUGCAGCAACAAUAACAAAAUAGUAACAGAAGGUAUUUGUUUUUUACAUACUUUGUUCUUGUAAUUAUUGAAGUAGCAGCCAAGUUUAUUGAUGUUUUUGAUUGUGUUAAGAAAAAAAAAAAGUUCUGCUCUGAAGUGAUGGUCAGAAACAAUAAGACAUUUAAUUUCUGAAAUUAAAUAAAUACAGAGAAGACUGUACUUAUCAAUUCUUUGUUUAAACUUUGUGAUAUCUAAUCACUGCAUAAAGGUUCAGAUUUGUGGCAACUGUACCUUUUUCAGUCUCUAAAAACUAUUUUUCUCUCCAUAAAGUUUCUAUUUGCUAUUUCCUCAGAAUUUUACAAUUAAAGGUAAAUAAUAAAUUAUUUGUUUUCUUUAAAGUUCCUUUAAAAAAUCCCAAGAAACCUCCUUAGAUAAUAAUGUGUUUUGUUGUUUUUUAAAGUAAUCUCACUUACUAGAAAUUUGACCAUUUUGAUAUUUUGUUUGGGGAGGGGAGUUUGCUAAAUAUUUUUAUAGAUUUGAAUUUAUAAAUAAUAUUAAAAUCACCAGGCUAAUUGUUUUUGACUCAUCAGGAUUACUAUUAUAUCUAUAUAUGUAUGACAUUAACUCUUUCUUGUAUGAAUUAUAAGAAAAUUUUCCAAAAGGUCUGAUUUUGGCUUUGAGGUAUGAAACAAGUUUUUCCCUUUCUGUGUUUCAUGUGCUAUUCUGUUUGGCACUGACAAUGCCCAAGCACAUCUGCGCACCACUGUGGGUAGAGGCCUCCCAGUAUGGCAGGUUCCUGAAGUUAAUUAAGAGGAGGAUAACUUAGGCCCACAAUGUCUUUUAUCUGAAUUUCACAUCCAUACUUAGUAACUUUGCAUUUAAAAGGAAAAUGAGAAAUAAGUUUGUGUCAUUUAACAUAAUGUUGGUAACAAUACAUCCCUUGUAAAACCCCACUAUCAAAGCAACAGACACCAAAGGCUGUUGGAUUUAGUGCCAACUAUAUUAGGCUCAUUAAUUAUUUUGAAAAUGGCUGUCGUUUCCAUAUAAAUGACAAUUUUCUUUUUCAUGGACAAAGUUAUGGUAUUUAUCUACUACAAGAAACAUGUAUAAACAACUUCAUUAUCUUUAACUUCAGUAUUAAAAUAUGCAGAGUUUUUGUGAAGAGGAAAAACAUCUGGUUCAAUUACUCUGAACUCUGACUGCAUGUGGGCCAGUAAUAAUAUGGAUUGGAUUUUAAGAAUAAACCUUGUGUUUAAUCUUUAUUUUUCCUUAAAGUUUUAAUGUGAGUGUUCUGUUAUUCCAAUUAUCCAUGUUAGCACGUUUGGAACAAAUGUAUAAGUGUACUUUCUGAAUAAAGUCAAACGUCUAACUUGUUUUUAGUUCCAUAAUGUUUUAAUGUUUAAUUCUAUUGUGUGUUUUUCUCCCUUUCCCCUUACUCUCCAAAAUCACCAAAUCUGGAAAACAGACUGAUUGUAUCUGUUCAUGAACAAAGGAAACCUGAAGGAACCAAGGGCCUGGCUGGACAGAGUUGUCAUGUGUCUGCCUGUCUACACUUGCUGUGCAGAACAUCCGCUCACCUGUACAGCAGGCACAGACAGGCAGUCACAUGACAACCCAGCCUGAAUGACCACCAGCCAUUGAAAGAAAGCAGCCCUCACACCAUACAAUCUACACCAAGAGCUACAACCAAAAUGAGGGGCUUGGGGGCCUGGGAAUUUAAUCUGUUAACUUAAUACUUAACUCGUAUGUAUUAUUAUUAUUUUAUUUUGAUUCAAAUAUUAAAACCCACCAAAAGUAAAGUGAGUGGUGCCUAUUAAAUAUAAUA
Long non-coding RNA from Lepus europaeus (European hare), 2325 nucleotides. RefSeq lists it as uncharacterized. The transcript has 3 exons. The record is from RefSeq and is a predicted model, not a curated record. NCBI's taxonomy places the organism in Eukaryota, Metazoa, Chordata, Mammalia, Lagomorpha, Leporidae.